Molecule: ribosomal RNA, 849 nt
Filed under: Acinetobacter baumannii Canada BC-5
Lineage: Bacteria; Pseudomonadati; Pseudomonadota; Gammaproteobacteria; Moraxellales; Moraxellaceae
Description: bacterial SSU rRNA
Rfam family: Bacterial small subunit ribosomal RNA
Source: RNAcentral
AUUGAACGCUGGCGGCAGGCUUAACACAUGCAAGUCGAGCGGGGGAAGGUAGCUUGCUACCGGACCUAGCGGCGGACGGGUGAGUAAUGCUUAGGAAUCUGCCUAUUAGUGGGGGACAACAUCUCGAAAGGGAUGCUAAUACCGCAUACGUCCUACGGGAGAAAGCAGGGGAUCUUCGGACCUUGCGCUAAUAGAUGAGCCUAAGUCGGAUUAGCUAGUUGGUGGGGUAAAGGCCUACCAAGGCGACGAUCUGUAGCGGGUCUGAGAGGAUGAUCCGCCACACUGGGACUGAGACACGGCCCAGACUCCUACGGGAGGCAGCAGUGGGGAAUAUUGGACAAUGGGGGGAACCCUGAUCCAGCCAUGCCGCGUGUGUGAAGAAGGCCUUAUGGUUGUAAAGCACUUUAAGCGAGGAGGAGGCUACUUUAGUUAAUACCUAGAGAUAGUGGACGUUACUCGCAGAAUAAGCACCGGCUAACUCUGUGCCAGCAGCCGCGGUAAUACAGAGGGUGCGAGCGUUAAUCGGAUUUACUGGGCGUAAAGCGUGCGUAGGCGGCUUAUUAAGUCGGAUGUGAAAUCCCCGAGCUUAACUUGGGAAUUGCAUUCGAUACUGGUGAGCUAGAGUAUGGGAGAGGAUGGUAGAAUUCCAGGUGUAGCGGUGAAAUGCGUAGAGAUCUGGAGGAAUACCGAUGGCGAAAGCAGCCAUCUGGCCUAAUACUGACGCUGAGGUACGAAAGCAUGGGGAGCAAACAGGAUUAGAUACCCUGGUAGUCCAUGCCGUAAACGAUGUCUACUAGCCGUUGGGGCCUUUGAGGCUUUAGUGGCGCAGCUAACGCGAUAAGUAGACCG